AUUGUUUCGACGAACGGAAAUUCAUCGGAUUACACAUCCACCACCUCAGCCAGUAGGUACACUGGCAGAUUUGGGCCGCUUUUGUGGCCAUUAGAUUCCCUCAGAGACUAUACGCUAAGCCCAGUUCUCUGAAGCAAGGAUGUCGGCUUUUAGCUGACGUCCCUUUUUCAGAGAACUGGUGAAGAUAUAGUCCGUUCUACAUAGCGAUAUGUAGAGGCAAGCAGAAAUGACUUGUCCGAGUAAUGUAUUUUAGUUUAACUUUGAAACUUUAUAACUUUCAACUUUAAACUAAAAAUGUUACUUAGUAACAUUUAAGACCCCAGUAGUCUACGCCCUAAACGAUGAUCUCUAGCUUUUCGGAGUAUCGACCCUCUGAGAGGCGAAGCUAACGCGUUAAGAGAUCCGCCUGGGUAGUACGGCCGCAAGGCUAAAACUCAAAGGAAUAGACGGGGACUUGCACAAGCAGUGGAUCAUGUGGUUUAAUUCGACGACAAACGAAGAACCUUACCAGGAUUUGAAACCUAGAUGAAGACACGUAGAAACAUGUGUCGUCCGCAAGGACAUUUAGGCAGGUGAUGCAUGGCCGUCGUCAGUUCGUGAUCUGAAUUGUUCCCUUAAGUGGGGUAACGAACGCAACCCUCGUCGGCUGUUACAAGUGUCAGCCGAGACUGCCCAGCUUUUUGAGCGUAAGCUCAAAAAGACAAUUGACCAUUGACCUUUACAAUUGACUUCAAAUGCGAGAAUCCGCUUUUUAGUUAAAUGUUAAUUGUCAGGUGUCAAAUGUGCUUUUUGUUCUUGUGAACAAAAAGCUGGGAGGAAGGCGAGGAUGACGCCAGGUCAGCAUGUCCCUCUGAUAUCCUGGGCUACACACGUGAUACAAUCGCCGCUACAACGCGUUGCAAUGAGGAAACUCAAAGCUAAUCGUAAUAAAGGCGGCGCCAGUUCGGAUAGAGGUCUGCAACCCGACCUCUUGAAGCCGGAAUUGCUAGUAAUCGCGGGUCAGCAUACCGCGGUGAAUACGUUCUCAAGUCUUGUACUCACCGCCCGUCAACUCAAGGGAGUUGGGAAUACCCGAAGUUCUCUGCAAGGAGACCUAAGGUAAGCUCAAUAACAGGGAGUAAGUCGUAACAAGGCACGG
Molecule: ribosomal RNA, 1138 nt
Filed under: Candidatus Taylorbacteria bacterium RIFCSPHIGHO2_02_FULL_43_55
Lineage: Bacteria; Candidatus Tayloriibacteriota
Description: bacterial SSU rRNA
Rfam family: Bacterial small subunit ribosomal RNA (bases 208-1138)
Source: RNAcentral